AUGAACGCUGGCGGCGUGCCUAAUACAUGCCAGUCGAGCGAACGGACGAGAAGCUUGCUUCUCUGAUGUUAGCGGCGGACGGGUGAGUAACACGUGGAUAACCUACCUAUAAGACUGGGAUAACUUCGGGAAACCGGAGCUAAUACCGGAUAAUAUUUUGAACCGCAUGGUUCAAAAGUGAAAGACGGUCUUGCUGUCACUUAUAGAUGGAUCCGCGCUGCAUUAGCUAGUUGGUAAGGUAACGGCUUACCAAGGCAACGAUGCAUAGCCGACCUGAGAGGGUGAACGGCCACACUGGAACUGAGACACGGUCCAGACUCCUACGGGAGGCAGCAGUAGGGAAUCUUCCGCAAUGGGCGAAAGCCUGACGGAGCAACGCCGCGUGAGUGAUGAAGGUCUUCGGAUCGUAAAACUCUGUUAUCAGGGAAGAACAUAUGUGUAAGUAACUGUGCACAUCUUGACGGUACCUAAUCAGAAAGCCACGGCUAACUACGUG
Molecule: ribosomal RNA, 496 nt
Filed under: uncultured bacterium
Lineage: Bacteria
Description: partial 16S ribosomal RNA
Rfam family: Bacterial small subunit ribosomal RNA
Source: RNAcentral